This is a long non-coding RNA of Eptesicus fuscus (big brown bat), 1789 nucleotides long. RefSeq lists it as uncharacterized. The record is from RefSeq and is a predicted model, not a curated record. The transcript is spliced from 11 exons. Lineage: Eukaryota; Metazoa; Chordata; Mammalia; Chiroptera; Vespertilionidae.
CAGGGAGAAGGGAGCACGUCUGUUGACCCCCUCCCCAGUGGUGCUUCCCUCUGUCCAUGAUGCCAUGCUCGCCACCAUGGGGUUUUCUUCUGGAAACAUCUUGAAGAUGGCUGAAGACCUAGGUCCAAAUUCUGUCUCCUGCACCAGGCAGGCUGGAGUCAUUCUCUCUCGUGAUGGUGAUAGAAACCUCUUGAAAAGCCUGGAAGCCUACAGAGGAAAGUCCCUCAAGAAACAUGACUGUUGAAUGAGCCCAACCACAGCCUCCUUCAAAUGUGAUCAGUUCAGUUACCUGAAGACUUGGGCUUCCCAUGCUGCCUUCUCCCUUCUUGCCAGUGAUAAAGAAAGGUUUCCUCAUUUGCUGCCAUGAAAGCGCAAGGCCUCGGGUUUCACUGAUAAUAUCAGCCAAAGCUGAAACAGCAUUGGGAACAAAGCUCUCUCGCAGUCUAGGGGCACCGAUAAGAAGGAAGUAGGCAGUUAUUCUGGCGUGGUUCAUAUAAAAGAAAGAAGAAAGAAUUUUUUUUUUUUUAUGGAGUCAAGUUUUAAGAACAAAAGGACAAAUGGUACACCUGAAUGGAUUGUCAUCAGGCUGUUGUUCUGCAAAUGUGGCCUCCGGGUCUCCAGUGAGCCAUGAGGAUCUGUCUGAGGGUCUCCGACUGAAUCAACUAUCCAGCAAGCUGCAAGAAUGAUUACAGAACAGACAAACCAGAAGGCAAGAGUCUUGGCCGUGGAGAUUCCUGACCAUGUCUCCAGAACUUUUCUCCGAAUCCUACUAGCUGGACAGACUUAGUGACUCCUUAUUCUUCAGUUUGUUUAUCCACCAUCAUGGUCAAGAUGGAAUGGACUGCUGCCUCGUGAAGCUCCGUUCAUCCAGAGAUCUUCCGCUCCUCCUCAUUGUCCAUAACCCAACGCAAGGCAGUCACCCUUCCUGCCUCCAAAGCUUCCCAAGAGGGAGAGCAUCCUGCUCCUUGCUGUCGAGGGCAGAAGUCAUAGAGGGACACGAAUUCCCACCCCCACGGGAGGCGCGAAGCUGUCAUCCUACUGCCCCCAAAUCACUGGUCUUGUCAUAGCUGACCACAUGGCAGUCCCAACUCUACCCUCCACCCGGAUCUUGGAACCCAGCCAUGAUUUGGCCAUCUCAAACUUCUACUUUGUCCAAAUCCACCCCAUACAACCCCAACUGUGGCCUCUCAACCCUGGCUUGUCAUCCAAUGCCACCUCUGCAAAACCUCAAAUUCCACUGCUCAAAGCCCAGUUGAACUUUGCAUUGGGACUGAUGCACGUUAACAUCUCCAAAAAAAGAUUUGCAGUUGCUUAUGGAUCAAACACAAAUAAAAUCGCACCAGUGGGAUGAAAGCAGAGAGCGGUGGAAGGAACCAGAAGGAACAGAGCCGUGACGACUGGAGAAGGUGAUAACAUGCCCAUGGCUGAGCUCACAUGGACCUUGCGUGACCUGGGAAGAAAGGACUGUCUCUGGAAAUGGAUCCUGUAAACAACAGACCUAUGAGGAAAUGUGGCAGCAGGUACAAAGAACAGAAUCACAGGGCUGGCAGGGACACUGGAGGUCAAGAUCAGCAGCCAUGGGAAGGUGAAGUUCACUCUUAAUGACUAAGAGGAAACAGAAAAUGAGGAGGGUACUUUGAAAGAAGGCUCCAAGGACCAUGUGCAACUUUUCAGGUAACCUUAGAGGAAAGCAAAAACCUGGAAUAGAAACACUGAAGGAGAAAUAACCAAAGAGUUAUUACCAACAUCCUGGUCAUCUUGAAGAGAAAUAAAAUUAAAUGUAAGUUAA